GCGUGCGCAGGGGUCCAACGUGCGCGUCACCGAGCAAUUAGCGGGAAACACACACACACACACACACACACACACACACACACACACACACACACACAGACACACACAGAGUCAGAACCUACAGCACGCAUUUCUCUUCAUCACUGAAAGGAUUUCGGAAGUGAGAGACGCUCGCGCGCACUUACACCAAUACAACUGGACCAACAACAGGAGAUAUACACUGACAUUUUUGUAAGACUAUAUUUUUUUUUGUUCCAAACUGAACAAUUUGGGAUAAGAGGUGUGGAAAAAUCCAGCACAGGUGAUCAAAGAUCCACAUCCAAAGAGCCUCAUCAUCCCGAACACAUGUUGAAGCAGAAUCUACACGAGGGUAAACUGAUGAGGACUGAGAGCAGAUGUGUAGCUACAGGGCUGGAUUUUGAAAUUGUGAAAUAUUACAUCAGUUCCAAAUGCCGGAGAUUAUAACUGAUUACACGGGCAUCUAGUUAUGUUUUGUGCAGUACUUGGGCUUUUAUUCUUAUUAAAUUCAAAUUCAACUUUUAUUUGUUACCUACACAAUCAUACACAGUAUGACAUGUAGUGAAAUGCUUUUUAUGAUUGGUAUAAAAAGGUUCAAUUCAAUUUUAUAGUAAUUGUAUUCUAUAGCGCUUUUAACAGUGGACAUUGGUAUUUAGCCCCAAUGAACAAGACUAAGGUGACUGAGGUGACUGUAGUGAGGAGAAACUCCUUUAGAUGGAAGAACCAGACCCGAAAGUGAACCUCGUCCUUAUUUGGGUGGCACUGGAGGGUGUGAUUAUAAAUUGUUAUAAACACUAGAUAGUGUUAUUAUGAAUAAUGUCCGUUCUACAAUCAUAUACAGUCUGACAAUUGUAUAUUGAUUAGGAGGUUGUUGUCCUCAAAGACUACAUGGAGUAGGCAGCUUCUCUUUGAAUGUCCAGUCAUCGUUACAGUUCCAUGCACACAAACACUUUGUUUAAUGACCAGGAUCCUAAAAAUCCCGAACGUUAUCAAUACAUCAUUUGAAAUAUUUAGAACUCACAGUGAUGCUCACAGCUCCAGUGGUUUUCUCUGUGGGUGAACGAGGAUGAUGCUGAACAAUUCCAGGAUAUGCUUUUUUUUCAUUGGUUGUUGUUGCGUUAAAUCUUACCCAGAUAGAAUAGUGCUGUUUUCUGAUUGGCUAUUGUGUAGCCUCUUUUUUGAUUGGCUGAUAAGUGGCAGGCUCGACAUUUUGGGCGCUGUGGCUUAUUAAAUAUAUGAUAAAUAGUCAAAAAAAAUUUCUGCGUGAGAAAUACAAUGCGUGAUACUUGAGAGCCCUGAUAAUAUGAUAAAUGAUAAUAUGACGUUGUAGCUGAGGACUGAGAAGGGAUGAGAAGCAGGCUAACACUUAUCACUGUGUUCAUGACGAAUGUGUCAAUUUAUUCUCAGUUAAAGAAUAAGAUCCUAUUUACUUACACUAGCUUAAUAAUUGCUAACAGAACACUUGCUUAUCUCUUCAAA
Long non-coding RNA from Tachysurus vachellii, 1497 nucleotides. RefSeq lists it as uncharacterized. The record is from RefSeq and is a predicted model, not a curated record. The transcript is spliced from 3 exons. NCBI's taxonomy places the organism in Eukaryota, Metazoa, Chordata, Actinopteri, Siluriformes, Bagridae.